AGGUGUCUAGAAUUAUUUGGAGUUCUGCAAUAUACGUCCUUUAUAUGCAAGUCUACACCAAUUACAUAAAUUUGUACAUGCAUUAAAGCAAUACAAUAUACAAUUAGAUGAAAAGGUCCCUAAUUCUACUAAAUGUUAAUGCACAACAUAAAAUGUUGGCCAAAGGAAAGGACCUCGUAAAGGGAAUGGUUGAAAGUGGUUGCGUCAUCAGACCACUGACUUUGGGAUGCACUUGUGAAGCAAUACACUGAUGCCAAAGAAAUGGAAAAAGCCGACUACAUACUGUAAAAGGUUGCUGAGAAGAGAAGGGGCAAACCAAUGUUUAGUUCGUAUAUUUUAGUUAUGGAUAGGGAUGUUAACGAGUUUAGUCGAAAUUUUAGGCUCGAGCUCAGCUCGGGUAAAAUGUCCAAGCUUCUUUUCAGGCUCUUGCCAUUUUUGCUCGGCAAAAAAAUUAGGCUUGGGCCUUUUCGAGCCUAGCUGGGUUAGCUCAAAAUUUUUUUUUAAUGAAAAAGGCAGCAGCUAAAAUUUAGUUGCUGCCAUUUAAGGCAGCAGCAUGCUACCUUUAAUUUUAUUUUUUUAAAAUAUACGCUCGGUUCUCCCGAGUCGGUGAGCCACACGGGCUGGCUCGAGACUUGCGGGGAACCUAAAAAUUGGGCUUGGUUCUCCCGAGUCUCAAGCCGAUAAGCUCGAGCUUUUUUCGAGCCAAGUUACGGGUGGCCCGUGCCGACGAGUCCGAUUGCCAUCCCUAGUUAUGGACCAAUAUGCUAAGAGACAUGACAUCAAUAAUGCUGAAAAAAAUGUUCAUUGCAUAUAAUCAUAUUGCACAAAACCCAUCAAAUACCAACCCUAAAAACAUAUUUUCUUCUUUCACCCUCUUCCUACACAUAAGUUCUUCCUCAUACCACUAAAAGAGGAAGGCAGUGAUAAAGAACAAGAUUACAAUCUGUUUUUGCGUCCAUUAAGUAUGAUGAAAUUUCUAAUUUCGACAUACAUUAUCUACAAGUUCGAGAAAAAAAAAUACAUAAAAUUCUAAAGCAUUUUCAUUUCAAACCAUAUUACUUAAUCUUUUAUGUAAUUAAUCGCCAACAAGAGCAACAACAAUUCUAUGUUAAGAGCAUACCUAUAUGCAAGUUGCAACUAAAAUAAGGAAUCAAGUGUCAAUCAAAGAUUUCCCACAAUAAAUUGAAAAUCAGGAUUCAUGUGUCAAUCAAAGAUUCCCCACCGUAAAUUGAAAAUCAAAGUUAUAUAAACCCACUAUCAACACAAUCAAAUUAAUUCAUUUGAAAAAAAAAAAAAAAAACUACCAAAGGAGACACCAACCACUAAAAUCCUAGAAGAAUAGCUUUUUCUCGUCUUUCUUCAAACCAUUUUUCAUUUAUACAUUCAUUUUCUCAAUCAAAAAGACCCAAAAUUAUAUCAUUUUACUUAAAAAAAUUAUUAAAUAUUUUUCAGCGUAAGUAAAUAAACUAGCAUAAAUUUUCAUUCAUAAGGAAAACAAACACUGCAUUUUAUCACAUCGAAAUAAAUAAACUGUUGACACAUAAAA
RNAcentral lists this long non-coding RNA (1546 nucleotides) under Olea europaea subsp. europaea. Lineage: Eukaryota; Viridiplantae; Streptophyta; Magnoliopsida; Lamiales; Oleaceae. The record is from RNAcentral.